This 459-nucleotide ribosomal RNA is filed under the name uncultured Smithella sp. RNAcentral's name for it is "bacterial SSU rRNA". It matches the Rfam family "Bacterial small subunit ribosomal RNA", at positions 923 to 1382 of the family's 1533-position model. The record is from RNAcentral. Lineage: Bacteria; Pseudomonadati; Thermodesulfobacteriota; Syntrophia; Syntrophales; Smithellaceae.
GCACAAGCGGUGGAGCAUGUGGUUUAAUUCGAUGCAACGCGAAGAACCUUACCUGGCUUGACAUCCCGGGAAUCCCUUGGAAACAAGGGAGUGCCCUUCGGGGAACCUGGAGACAGGUGCUGCAUGGCUGUCGUCAGCUCGUGUCGUGAGAUGUAGGGUUAAGUCCCGCAACGAGCGCAACCCUUGUCUUUAAUUGCCAUCAUUGAGUUGGGCACUUUAAAGAGACUGCCGGUGUUAAGCCGGAGGAAGGUGGGGAUGACGUCAAGUCCUCAUGGCCUUUAUGCCCAGGGCUACACACGUGCUACAAUGGGUGGUACAAAGAGAUGCCAACUCGCGAGAGCGCGCCAAUCUCAGAAAGCCAUCCUCAGUUCGGAUUGGAGUCUGCAACUCGACUCCAUGAAGUUGGAAUCGCUAGUAAUCGCGGAUCAGCACGCCGCGGUGAAUACGUUCCCGGGCCUU